ACGAUGAAGCCUUUCGGGGUGGAUUAGUGGCGAACGGGUGAGUAACACGUGGGCAAUCUGCCCUUCACUCUGGGACAAGCCCUGGAAACGGGGUCUAAUACCGGAUAACACUCUGUCCCGCAUGGGACGGGGUUAAAAGCUCCGGCGGUGAAGGAUGAGCCCGCGGCCUAUCAGCUUGUUGGUGGGGUGAUGGCCUACCAAGGCGACGACGGGUAGCCGGCCUGAGAGGGCGACCGGCCACACUGGGACUGAGACACGGCCCAGACUCCUACGGGAGGCAGCAGUGGGGAAUAUUGCACAAUGGGCGAAAGCCUGAUGCAGCGACGCCGCGUGAGGGAUGACGGCCUUCGGGUUGUAAACCUCUUUCAGCAGGGAAGAAGCGAAAGUGACGGUACCUGCAGAAGAAGCGCCGGCUAACUACGUGC
RNAcentral lists this ribosomal RNA (425 nucleotides) under Actinacidiphila yanglinensis. Its description in RNAcentral is "bacterial SSU rRNA". It matches the Rfam family "Bacterial small subunit ribosomal RNA", at positions 66 to 508 of the family's 1533-position model. The record is from RNAcentral. Lineage: Bacteria; Bacillati; Actinomycetota; Actinomycetes; Kitasatosporales; Streptomycetaceae.